This is a long non-coding RNA of Hemicordylus capensis (graceful crag lizard), 484 nucleotides long. RefSeq lists it as uncharacterized. Lineage: Eukaryota; Metazoa; Chordata; Lepidosauria; Squamata; Cordylidae. The record is from RefSeq and is a predicted model, not a curated record. The transcript has 3 exons.
UAAAAAGCACUUCCUGGUUGCUUCAUGGAAGAGAUUUUUAAAAUAUGUUUUCCCCUUCUCCAUGAGGGCAGUGCCAGGAGUCCUCUAGGAAUCAGAUUGGCUGGAGCAGUUUGAGUAGCAGCUGUUCCAGCCAGUAAGACCAAAAGAGGAUGUUGAAGGCUGGGAAGAUGGGGCUGGAGGAAGCUCCCUGUUGUGGAGGAUUCCCUGGCUGCUGGUUUUCAUCACAUGAUGCAGAAAGAACAGAAUGGGAGAGGCAAAGGAUAUGAAAAACCUCAUCUGGACCAACAGCAACAUCUUCCAUACGAAUCAGUGGCCAUGUUGGAAUAAAUCACCAUCUGGAAAGACCCCUGCUCAUUUAUGGGGUCCAAUGUAAAAGUUGGCAACCCUACAGCUAAUAGGGGAGGUUUGAAAUAAUGCUGUAUCCAUGCUGAAUGUUUUCAUGUGAUCUGUUCUAAUAAACAACAUGAGUAAAUUGUGCAGUCAA